This 303-nucleotide ribosomal RNA is filed under the name uncultured bacterium. RNAcentral describes it as "partial 16S ribosomal RNA". It matches the Rfam family "Bacterial small subunit ribosomal RNA", at positions 507 to 809 of the family's 1533-position model. The record is from RNAcentral.
AGCAGCAGCCGCGGGAAUACGGAGGAUCCAAGCGUUAUCCGGAAUCAUUGGGUUUAAAGGGUCCGUAGGCGGUCUUGUAAGUCAGUGGUGAAAGCCCAUCGCUCAACGGUGGAACGGCCAUUGAUACUGCAGGACUUGAAUUAUUGGGAAGUAACUAGAAUAUGUAGUGUAGCGGUGAAAUGCUUAGAGAUUACAUGGAAUACCAAUUGCGAAGGCAGGUUACUACCAAUUGAUUGACGCUGAUGGACGAAAGCGUGGGUAGCGAACAGGAUUAGAUACCCCUGUAGUCCCUGUCUCUUAUAA